UCCGUAGGUGAACCUGCGGAAGGAUCAUUACAAGUGAGGCUACCGAACGUUGGAAACAGCGGUUAGGAGCUUACACCCACCCGUGUUUACAUACUAUUGUUGCUUUGGCGGGCCGUGGCCUCCACUGCGGGCUCUGCUCGUGUGUGCCCGCCAGAGAACCAAACUCUGAAUGUUAGUGAUGUCUGAGUACUAUCUAAUAGUUAAAACUUUCAACAACGGAUCUCUUGGUUCUGGCAUCGAUGAAGAACGCAGCGAAAUGCGAUAAGUAAUGUGAAUUGCAGAAUUCAGUGAAUCAUCGAAUCUUUGAACGCACAUUGCGCCCUGUGGUAUUCCGCAGGGCAUGCCUGUUCGAGCGUCAUUUAACCACUCACGCCUAGCGUGGUAUUGGGGCACGCGGUCUCCGCGGCCCUCAAAAUUAGUGGCGGCGCCGGUGGGCUCUAAGCGUAGUACAUACUCCCGCUAUAGAGUUCCCCCCGGUGGCUCGCCAGAACCCCCAAUUUUUUUUACAGGUUGACCUCGGAUCAGGUAGGGAUACCCGCUGAACUUAAGCAUAUCAAUAAGCGGAGGAAAAGAAACCAACAGGGAUUACCUCAGUAACGGCGAGUGAAGCGGUAACAGCUCAAAUUUGAAAGCUGCCAACAGGCCGCGUUGUAAUUUGUAGAAGCUGCUUUGGGUGUCGGCCCGGUCUAAGUUCCUUGGAACAGGACGUCAUAGAGGGUGAGAAUCCCGUAUGUGAUCGGUGCCGUUGCCCGUGUAAAGCGCUUUCGACGAGUCGAGUUGUUUGGGAAUGCAGCUCAAAAUGGGUGGUAAAUUUCAUCUAAAGCUAAAUAUUGGCCAGAGACCGAUAGCGCACAAGUAGAGUGAUCGAAAGAUGAAAAGAAUC
This 883-nucleotide ribosomal RNA is filed under the name uncultured Phialocephala. RNAcentral describes it as "eukaryotic LSU rRNA". The stretch from base 512 to 883 matches the Rfam family "Eukaryotic large subunit ribosomal RNA", at positions 1 to 375 of the family's 3401-position model. Lineage: Eukaryota; Fungi; Ascomycota; Leotiomycetes; Helotiales. The record is from RNAcentral.